CGGCGGACGGGUGAGUAACGCGUGGGUAACCUGCCUCAUACAGGGGGAUAACAGUUAGAAAUGACUGCUAAUACCGCAUAAGCGCACAGGACCGCAUGGUCCGGUGUGAAAAACUCCGGUGGUAUGAGAUGGACCCGCGUCUGAUUAGUUAGUUGGCGGGGUAACGGCCCACCAAGGCGACGAUCAGUAGCCGGCCUGAGAGGGUGAACGGCCACAUUGGGACUGAGACACGGCCCAGACUCCUACGGAAGGCAGCAG
This 258-nucleotide ribosomal RNA is filed under the name uncultured bacterium. Its description in RNAcentral is "partial 16S ribosomal RNA". It matches the Rfam family "Bacterial small subunit ribosomal RNA", at positions 96 to 354 of the family's 1533-position model. The record is from RNAcentral.